GACGAGGGGUGCUAGCGUUGUUCGGAAUUACUGGGCGUAAAGCGUAUGUAGGUGGCCUUGCAAGUCAGAUGUGAAAGCCCUGGGCUUAACCCAGGAAGUGCAUUUGAAACUGCAGGGCUUGAGUGUCGGAGAGGGUAGUGGAAUUCCUGGUGUAGAGGUGAAAUUCGUAGAUAUCAGGAGGAACAUCGGAGGCGAAGGCGGCUACCUGGCCGAACACUGACACUGAGAUACGAAAGCGUGGGGAGCAAACAGG
Molecule: ribosomal RNA, 253 nt
Filed under: uncultured bacterium
Lineage: Bacteria
Description: partial 16S ribosomal RNA
Rfam family: Bacterial small subunit ribosomal RNA
Source: RNAcentral